CAUGUCUUUUUGAUUAUAAUUUAAGGUUUAAUCUGCUCAAUGAGGAGUUAAAUUGCCGCGGUAUAUUGACCGUGCAAAGGUAGCAUAAUAAUUAGUUUUUUUAUUGAAAGCUGGAAUGAAUGAUUGGACGAGAAAACUUCUGUCUCUUUAUAAUUUAUUUUUUAAUUUAACUUUUAAGUAAAAAGGCUUAAAUUUUUGUUAAAGACGAGAAGACCCUAUAGAGUUUAAUAUUUUAAUUUUUUAAUUUUUAUUUGGUAUAAAAAAAUUUUAUUAAAUUGAAUAUUUAGUUGGGGUGACUAAAAAAUUUAUUUAACUUUUUUAAAUUGUUAAUCAAUGAUUAUUGAAUAUAAAAUCUAAUGUUUUUAAAUAUAAGAUAAAUUACCUUAGGGAUAACAGCGUAAUUUUCUUUUAAAGUUCUUAUUAAAAGGAAAGUUUGCGACCUCGAUGUUGGAUUAAAAUUAAUUUUUGGUGUAGAAGCUAAAAAAUUAAGUCUGUUCGACUUUUAAAAUUUUACAUGAUCUGAGU
This 525-nucleotide ribosomal RNA is filed under the name Cebrio sp. UPOL RK0142. RNAcentral describes it as "partial 16S ribosomal RNA". The stretch from base 389 to 525 matches the Rfam family "Bacterial large subunit ribosomal RNA", at positions 2473 to 2610 of the family's 2925-position model. RNAcentral also lists the same sequence under 1 other name. The record is from RNAcentral. Lineage: Eukaryota; Metazoa; Arthropoda; Insecta; Coleoptera; Elateridae.